GAAAGUUUAAGAGAACUAUUUAGAAUUUUUAGCCAGAGAGACCUAGCACCUAUCAAGCUACAAAAUCCUGAUUGCCAUUGGAUGCUGCCAUUGUGGGUUAUGCCAUUUUCUGAGCAUAAGAAGUGCCUAGCCAGACCAUGCCAAAGACCUAUCCACUAACUGGUCCACCAUUCUGUUUCAACACAGAUUGUUCUUCAACCAGUGUGACUUAUAGAACUCCACAAGAAAAAUGUUGAUACAAUCAGACUGCCAAUGAUUAUUUAGCAACCAAUAAAAGGAACUAUCCAAGGUGCUGAUCUCUGUCCUCCAAGCUUCAGGUCUCUUUAAGGAGGAUGAAAUGUGCUGAACCCUAUUUCUAAAAAUUAUGACCAAAACUGAACUCCCACUAGAAACCAAAAUGACUAACAUGAGUUUGUCAUAUUUUGGGAGAUAUUGUAAGACAAUAUGAUUUAUUGAAAAACACAAUGCUUGACAAAAAGGAAGGUCAUAAAUAAAAGAGGAAAACCUCAA
This is a long non-coding RNA of Anolis carolinensis (green anole), 510 nucleotides long. RefSeq lists it as uncharacterized. NCBI's taxonomy places the organism in Eukaryota, Metazoa, Chordata, Lepidosauria, Squamata, Anolidae. The record is from RefSeq and is a predicted model, not a curated record. The transcript has 2 exons.